CUUACCGAAACAAGCUCUAAACAUUUCAAACCCAGAUUUGAAUCUUGCAAAGAUCCAAACUCCCACACAACCAGGUUGCUGAAGGUUGAAAGUUGUUUCGGGUCUCUUCCUUUUUCACUCAAUUCUCCAGCAAAGUACAACCAACAUCCCAAGUGAAACCUAUACAUACCAGCUGCUAGCAUUUUUUAAUUUGAGAAUUUGAUCUUUGGAAUAGGGUGAUUCCAUACUAAUUUUUGGUUUAUUAAUGACUAUAUUUCC
RNAcentral lists this long non-coding RNA (258 nucleotides) under Vitis vinifera (wine grape). RNAcentral describes it as "long non-coding RNA (VVIN_LNC002870)". The record is from RNAcentral. Lineage: Eukaryota; Viridiplantae; Streptophyta; Magnoliopsida; Vitales; Vitaceae.